UACGUAGGGCGCAAGCGUUAUCCGGAAUUAUUGGGCGUAAAGAGCUCGUAGGCGGUUUGUCGCGUCUGCCGUGAAAGUCCGGGGCUCAACUCCGGAUCUGCGGUGGGUACGGGCAGACUAGAGUGAUGUAGGGGAGACUGGAAUUCCUGGUGUAGCGGUGAAAUGCGCAGAUAUCAGGAGGAACACCGGUGGCGAAGGCGGGUCUCUGGGCAGUAACUGACGCUGAGGAGCGAGAGCGUGGGGAGCGAACAGG
RNAcentral lists this ribosomal RNA (253 nucleotides) under uncultured bacterium. RNAcentral describes it as "partial 16S ribosomal RNA". It matches the Rfam family "Bacterial small subunit ribosomal RNA", at positions 524 to 776 of the family's 1533-position model. The record is from RNAcentral.